AGAGUUGCUUCCCUUAACUGAUAACGCCAUUUUCCCUGUUGUUUAUAACAUCAUCUUUUGUCUUGGAUCAUCGUCUGUUGCUUCGGGUUACAGGUUUUUUGCGAUCUGUCUUGGCUGUCGUCUACUGGUUGAUAUAUCAUCUCGAUAAGAGUCAGAACUAAGCGGUUCCUUGGCUGAACUAGUGCCACAACACACACUCCCAAAGCUUCUGGUCACAAUUUUUACACUGAACAUUCACUCCUGUUGGACUCUAAGGUAGAUUGUGGUGAAAAUGUUGCCCAAGUUGUCUGUAGAGAAGAAGCUGGUCAACCGACUGUCUUCCUUGAUUCCAGCAUUUACGGACGUCUUUGAUGAAGAGUCUUUUUAUAUUUUCUUCAUCUUCCUUGUGGUCCUUACUAUUGCUAGUGUCUGUGUCCUGUCCCGCUACGUUACCAUAAAAGAUGCUGGCCAUGUUGAAUAGGAGGCUGUUUUCCUACUGACAGAAAAAUGGGUUAGAGGCGACAGAUCAAAGUUUUUGUGAUUUAACCCCCCACCCCCACCCCAUUUCUUAACAUAAAUAUGAACUUUGUUACUGUUACCUCUUUCCUUCAUCCUUUCUUCUCACUCCACCCUCACUCUUCCUCAUUAUCCUCCCCCCGCACAUCACAUUCAAACAAAUCUUUUCUAUCUCUUUUCAUUUUUUUUUUCUCCUUUAAAAUUCCUCACUGCCGAUGGUCUAUAUAUUAUCUUUGCAUCCGAUGAUAGUGUCACAACAAACACACACCACACAAAAAAGAUAUGUGACACCCUAACUUCAAUCAUUCAGCUCAGUCUUACUCUUAAUUAAUGUUCCAAUCGAUUUCUCUCUAAACCAGUGUCGAUUAAGUUGCACCACACCAUCAAGUUUUAAUUAUUCUAAUUCUUUACUAGUCUCACCUGUAUUUAACUGAGCGCUCCAUCUUCAUCUUUCUAGCACCAAUGCCAAAGUACUUGCAUCCAUCUUAGUGAAUCAUAAC
Molecule: long non-coding RNA, 995 nt
Organism: Octopus sinensis (East Asian common octopus)
Lineage: Eukaryota; Metazoa; Mollusca; Cephalopoda; Octopoda; Octopodidae
Exons: 2
Source: RefSeq, a predicted model, not a curated record